RNAcentral lists this ribosomal RNA (337 nucleotides) under uncultured Pseudomonadota bacterium. Its description in RNAcentral is "bacterial SSU rRNA". It matches the Rfam family "Bacterial small subunit ribosomal RNA", at positions 29 to 351 of the family's 1533-position model. Lineage: Bacteria; Pseudomonadati; Pseudomonadota. The record is from RNAcentral.
AACGAACGCUGGCGGCGUGCUUAACACAUGCAAGUCGAACGUGAUUCAGUCUUCGGACUGAUGAAAGUGGCGCACGGGUGAGUAACACGUGGAUAAUCUACCCGAUGAUCCGGGAUAACAUCUCGAAAGGGGUGCUAAUACCGGGUAAGCCCACGGACUCUUCGGAGUUUGCGGGAAAAGGUGGGGACCUUCGGGCCUACCGUCAUCGGAUGAGUCCGCGUACCAUUAGCUAGUUGGCAGGGGUAAUGGCCUACCAAGGCAACGAUGGUUAGCUGGUCUGAGAGGAUGAUCAGCCACACUGGAACUGAGACACGGUCCAGACUCCUACGGGUGGCAG